RNAcentral lists this ribosomal RNA (2094 nucleotides) under Vibrio diabolicus. Its description in RNAcentral is "partial 23S ribosomal RNA". It matches the Rfam family "Bacterial large subunit ribosomal RNA", at positions 1 to 2137 of the family's 2925-position model. The record is from RNAcentral. Lineage: Bacteria; Pseudomonadati; Pseudomonadota; Gammaproteobacteria; Vibrionales; Vibrionaceae.
GUUGUAUGGUUAAGUGACUAAGCGUACACGGUGGAUGCCUUGGCAGUCAGAGGCGAUGAAGGACGUAUUAACUUGCGAUAAGCCCAGAUUAGGUAGUAAAACCACUUGAGUCUGGGAUUUCCGAAUGGGGAAACCCACUUACAUAAGUAAGUAUCGUUAUGUGAAUACAUAGCAUAACGAGGCGAACCGGGGGAACUGAAACAUCUAAGUACCCCGAGGAAAAGAAAUCAACCGAGAUUCCGAAAGUAGCGGCGAGCGAAAUUGGACUAGCCCUUAAGCUUUAUACGCGUUAGACGAACAGCUGGAAAGCGGCGAUACAGGGUGAUAGUCCCGUAACUGACGACGUGUUCAGUGAAAUCGAGUAGGGCGGGACACGUGAUAUCCUGUCUGAAUAUGGGGGGACCAUCCUCCAAGGCUAAAUACUACUGACUGACCGAUAGUGAACCAGUACCGUGAGGGAAAGGCGAAAAGAACCCCUGUGAGGGGAGUGAAAUAGAACCUGAAACCGUGUACGUACAAGCAGUAGGAGCAGGCUUGUCCUGUGACUGCGUACCUUUUGUAUAAUGGGUCAGCGACUUAUAUUCAGUGGCAAGGUUAACCAUCUAGGGGAGCCGUAGGGAAACCGAGUCUUAACUGGGCGUUCAGUCUCUGGAUAUAGACCCGAAACCAGGUGAUCUAGCCAUGGGCAGGUUGAAGGUUGAGUAACAUCAACUGGAGGACCGAACCGACUAAUGUUGAAAAAUUAGCGGAUGACUUGUGGCUAGGGGUGAAAGGCCAAUCAAACCUGGAGAUAGCUGGUUCUCCCCGAAAGCUAUUUAGGUAGCGCCUCGGACGAAUACUACUGGGGGUAGAGCACUGUUAAGGCUAGGGGGUCAUCCCGACUUACCAACCCUUUGCAAACUCCGAAUACCAGUAAGUACUAUCCGGGAGACACACGGCGGGUGCUAACGUCCGUCGUGGAGAGGGAAACAACCCAGACCGCCAGCUAAGGUCCCAAAUUACUACUAAGUGGGAAACGAUGUGGGAAGGCUCAGACAGCCAGGAUGUUGGCUUAGAAGCAGCCAUCAUUUAAAGAAAGCGUAAUAGCUCACUGGUCGAGUCGGCCUGCGCGGAAGAUGUAACGGGGCUAAGUAGUAAACCGAAGCUGCGGCAAUACUCUUUGUGUAUUGGGUAGGGGAGCGUUCUGUAAGCGGUUGAAGGUGUGUGGUAACGCAUGCUGGACGUAUCAGAAGUGCGAAUGCUGACAUGAGUAACGAUAAAGGGGGUGAAAAACCUCCUCGCCGGAAGACCAAGGGUUCCUGUCCAACGUUAAUCGGGGCAGGGUAAGUCGACCCCAAGGCGAGGCCGAAAGGCGUAGUCGAUGGGAAACGGGUUAAUAUUCCCGUACUUCUUACAAUUGCGAUGGGGGGACGGAGAAGGCUAGGUGGGCCUGGCGACGGUUGUCCAGGUUCAAGUGCGUAGGCUGAGAAAUUAGGUAAAUCCGGUUUCUCUUAAGGCUGAGACACGACGUCGAGCUACUACGGUAGUGAAGUCAUUGAUGCCAUGCUUCCAGGAAAAGCCUCUAAGCUUCAGAUUGUAAGGAAUCGUACCCCAAACCGACACAGGUGGUCGGGUAGAGAAUACCAAGGCGCUUGAGAGAACUCGGGUGAAGGAACUAGGCAAAAUGGUACCGUAACUUCGGGAGAAGGUACGCUCUCGACGGUGAAGUCCCUCGCGGAUGGAGCUAUUGAGAGUCGCAGAUACCAGGUGGCUGCAACUGUUUAUUAAAAACACAGCACUGUGCAAAAUCGCAAGAUGACGUAUACGGUGUGACGCCUGCCCGGUGCCGGAAGGUUAAUUGAUGGGUUAGACUUCGGUCGAAGCUCUUGAUCGAAGCCCCGGUAAACGGCGGCCGUAACUAUAACGGUCCUAAGGUAGCGAAAUUCCUUGUCGGGUAAGUUCCGACCUGCACGAAUGGCGUAAUGAUGGCCACGCUGUCUCCACCCGAGACUCAGUGAAAUUGAAAUCGCUGUGAAGAUGCAGUGUACCCGCGGCUAGACGGAAAGACCCGUGAACCUUUACUACAGCUUGGCACUGAACAUUGACCCUACAUGU